CACCAGACUCCUACGGGAGGCAGCAGUGGGGAAUAUUGCACAAUGGGGGAAACCCUGAUGCAGCGACGCCGCGUGAGCGAUGAAGUAUUUCGGUAUGUAAAGCUCUAUCAGCAGGGAAGAAGAUGACGGUACCUGACUAAGAAGCCCUGGCUAACUACGUGCCAGCAGCCGCGGUAAUACGUAGGGGGCAAGCGUUAUCCGGAUUUACUGGGUGUAAAGGGAGCGUAGACGGCGAUGCAAGCCAGAUGUGAAAGCCCGGGGCUCAACCCCGGGACUGCAUUUGGAACUGUGUGGCUGGAGUGUCGGAGAGGCAGGCGGAAUUCCUAGUGUAGCGGUGAAAUGCGUAGAUAUUAGGAGGAACACCAGUGGCGAAGGCGGCCUGCUGGACGAUGACUGACGUUGAGGCUCGAAAGCGUGGGGAGCAAACAGGAUUAGAUACCCGUGUA
RNAcentral lists this ribosomal RNA (446 nucleotides) under uncultured bacterium. RNAcentral's name for it is "bacterial SSU rRNA". It matches the Rfam family "Bacterial small subunit ribosomal RNA", at positions 329 to 792 of the family's 1533-position model. The record is from RNAcentral.